GACGAACGCUGGCGGCAUGCCUAAUACAUGCAAGUCGAGCGAACAGAUGAAGUGCUUGCACUUCUGACGUUAGCGGCGAACGGGUGAGUAACACGUAAGGAAUCUACCUAUAAGCGGGGGAUAACAUUCGGAAACGGGUGCUAAUACCGCAUAAAAUCUUCUUCCGCAUGGAAGAAGAUUGAAAGACGGCUCUGCUGUCACUUAUAGAUGACCUUGCGGUGCAUUAGUUAGUUGGUGGGGUAACGGCCUACCAAGACGAUGAUGCAUAGCCGACUUGAAAGGGUGAUGGGCCAAAGUGGGAGUGAGACACGGCGCAAACUCCUACGGGAGGCAGCAGUAGGGAAUCUUCCGCAAUGGGCGAAAGCCUGACUGAGCAAUGCCGCGUGAGUGAAGAAGGCCUUCGGGUCGUAAAACUCUGUUAUAAGAGAAGAACAAAUUGUAGAGUAACUGCUACAGUCUUGACGGUAUCUUAUCAGAAAGCCACGGCUAACUACGUGCCAGCAGCCGCCGUAA
This 513-nucleotide ribosomal RNA is filed under the name uncultured bacterium. RNAcentral's name for it is "partial 16S ribosomal RNA". It matches the Rfam family "Bacterial small subunit ribosomal RNA", at positions 28 to 523 of the family's 1533-position model. The record is from RNAcentral.